This 596-nucleotide long non-coding RNA is filed under the name Androctonus crassicauda. The record is from RNAcentral. Lineage: Eukaryota; Metazoa; Arthropoda; Arachnida; Scorpiones; Buthidae.
CUUUGUAUUAAGUAAAAAACAAGUAAAAAUUUUUUGUUAGUAUUCAUUUCUUUAGUUAAUGCUUUGUAUUAAUUAAUUAUAAUAAAAAAAAAGUGGGAUCUUGAAGGUUUGUAGAUGACGAUCUCACCACAGCAAGGUUGUGCCCAGCUCAAACCUUCAAAUUGCAUAUACUGUACUUAAAGUUUUGAGUCCCACAGCUGCAAAACUGUAUUUAGGCUGAUGUUUCAUGGUAGUGGUCAUAUCAAAAACUUUUAUAAUGAUGGAGCCAGAGCCGGAGCUAAAGCUUGUUUUAAAACAAUGAUGCCGGAGCUGGAGCCACAGCUGAAAUAUACUGUGGCUCUGGAGCCGGUGCCGGAGCCUAAUUUAUUUCAGGCCAGCUCCCCAGCCUUGCUUGUAAGAUGUGCAAAUGAAGAGAGGGACUAAUGAAAUGUAAGUAUAUUUUUGGCAGGUUUCAAAAUUAAAAAAAGGUGCUUUUUGAAUUACCAACAUACUAAUUAUGAAUAUUUAUACUUAAGCAUGAAAUUUUAUUUUCAAAUUUCAAAAAAUUUCAAAAACUCUUCAAGAAUUUUAAAUAUUAUGACAGCAGAAUGCUUUAG